This 50-nucleotide small RNA is filed under the name Arabidopsis thaliana (thale cress). Its description in RNAcentral is "ATSL284750". The record is from RNAcentral. Lineage: Eukaryota; Viridiplantae; Streptophyta; Magnoliopsida; Brassicales; Brassicaceae.
UUCGGUUAUCAGAUUCGUGUACCGGCGAUGAUGAUGAUGAAGAGAUGGGU